AAGAAUAGUGAGCAUUUCAUGUAGCUUUUUUUGUGUUUCUCUUCUGAAGUAAAGUAGACUUGACGUAAUAUAUUGUUUUAUAAAUAAAAAGUUACUUUUUAAUCAAACACACUAUAGAUCAUAAAAGUAGCCAUUUAAGAAAUAUGUAAAGCUUUUUGGGUGUAAUCUUUUGUGCAUUCUAGAGGAAAAUCUUGUUCUGCUCUGUUA
Molecule: long non-coding RNA, 207 nt
Filed under: Homo sapiens (human)
Lineage: Eukaryota; Metazoa; Chordata; Mammalia; Primates; Hominidae
Description: HSALNT0059496
Source: RNAcentral